UGAUGUUUCACUUAGUCUGUGAUCCUUCAAGAGUGGUGGUUGAGACUACAUUAAAAGAACUUGUUCGUGCAGUAAUACACUGGGGAGGCAAACUAGACCAUGUUCUGCGAGUCCUACUCCCUCAGAUGUUGGGCUUUGCUCAGCGCUGUCCACCUCUUUCAGGGGUUGAAGGUUCUGUAGAUUCUCAUCUUCGCGUUCUUGGCGAACGG
This 209-nucleotide unclassified non-coding RNA is filed under the name Hevea brasiliensis (rubber tree). The record is from RNAcentral. Lineage: Eukaryota; Viridiplantae; Streptophyta; Magnoliopsida; Malpighiales; Euphorbiaceae.